GGGCUUGUACUGGUUUCGACGGGGAUGUUGAAGUUUGGGAAGCCAUCCGUAGACUCCGGAACUACGUUAAAAGCUGGAACCUAAACAUAAAAGCAGACGACAACAAGUUAGCUUUAGUUGCCUGAGGGCGGCUUGUCGGACCGCAGUUUCCUGUCGCUGCGGAUCCCGGCAUCGAUGAGGCGGGAUCCUCUUCUUCCAAAGCUUUGAGGUUGAAGAACAGUUUAUGAAGCUACCCAAAGGCUGAGUUCGUCAUCGGGUGCGGCCUGAGGGGAAUUUAUAACCGAUGACUGUGAUGGAAGAUGCCUGAAUGGAUAUGUUUUCGGACCGGGGUUCGACUCCCCGCAGGUCCAC
RNAcentral lists this transfer-messenger RNA (351 nucleotides) under bovine gut metagenome. It matches the Rfam family "transfer-messenger RNA". Rfam says of the family: Bacterial tmRNA, also known as 10Sa RNA or SsrA, is named for its dual tRNA and mRNA-like properties. Its role is to liberate the mRNA from a stalled ribosome. To accomplish this part of the tmRNA is used as a reading frame that ends in a translation stop signal. The record is from RNAcentral.